AUACAGAGGGUGCAAGCGUUAAUCGGAAUUACUGGGCGUAAAGGGCGCGUAGGUUGCUAGUUUAGUCAGAUGUGAAAUAUCCGGGCUUAACCUGGACAUGUCAUCUGAUACUGGCUAGCUAGAGUACAGUAGAGGGAAGUGGAAUUUCCGGUGUAGCGGUGAAAUGCGUAGAUAUCGGAAGGAACAUCAGUGGCGAAGGCGACUUCCUGGACUGAUACUGACACUGAGGCGCGAAAGCGUGGGGAGCAAACAGGAUUAGAAACCCUAGUAGUCC
This 274-nucleotide ribosomal RNA is filed under the name uncultured bacterium. RNAcentral's name for it is "partial 16S ribosomal RNA". It matches the Rfam family "Bacterial small subunit ribosomal RNA", at positions 523 to 796 of the family's 1533-position model. The record is from RNAcentral.